This 676-nucleotide ribosomal RNA is filed under the name uncultured bacterium. RNAcentral's name for it is "bacterial SSU rRNA". It matches the Rfam family "Bacterial small subunit ribosomal RNA", at positions 139 to 813 of the family's 1533-position model. The record is from RNAcentral.
GGGGACAACCCGCCGAAAGGCGGGCUAAACCCGCGUACAUGCCACCGGGGCAUCCCGGAGGCAGGAAAGGCUUCGGCCGGACAGGGAUGGGCAUGCGGCGCAUUAGGCAGUAGGCGGGGUAACGGCCCACCUAACCGACGAUGCGUAGGGGUUCUGAGAGGAAGGUCCCCCACACUGGUACUGAGACACGGACCAGACUCCUACGGGAGGCAGCAGUGAGGAAUAUUGGUCAAUGGUCGGGAGACUGAACCAGCCAAGCCGCGUGAGGGAUGAAGGUACAGAGUAUCGUAAACCUCUUUUGUCAGGGAACAAAGGCGGGGACGUGUCCCCGGAUGAGUGUACCUGAAGAAAAAGCAUCGGCUAACUCCGUGCCAGCAGCCGCGGUAAUACGGAGGAUGCGAGCGUUAUCCGGAUUUAUUGGGUUUAAAGGGUGCGCAGGCGGUCUGUUAAGUCAGCGGUCAAAGCCCGGGGCUCAACCCCGGCCCGCCGUUGAAACUGGCAGUCUCGAGUUGGAGAGAAGUAUGCGGAAUGCGCGGUGUAGCGGUGAAAUGCAUAGAUAUCGCGCAGAACUCCGAUUGCGGAGGCAGCAUGCCGGCUCCACACUGACGCUGAGGCACGAAAGCGUGGGUAUCGAACAGGAUUAGAUACCCUGGUAGUCCACGCAGUAAACGAUGAA